This is a long non-coding RNA of Coregonus clupeaformis (lake whitefish), 1040 nucleotides long. RefSeq lists it as uncharacterized. The record is from RefSeq and is a predicted model, not a curated record. Lineage: Eukaryota; Metazoa; Chordata; Actinopteri; Salmoniformes; Salmonidae. The transcript is spliced from 2 exons.
UGUAAACUUUACAGAUGUUACUGUAAACUUUGCAGAGGUUACUCUCCUCUUUGUAGAGGUUUAUGUCAUAUUUACAGAGGUUACUGUCCUCUUUGCAGAGGUUACUGUCAACUUUACAUAGGUUACUGUCAACUUUACAGAGGUUAAUGUCAACUUUACAGAUGUUACUGUCCUCUUUGUAGAGGUUACUGUCAUCUUUACAGAGGUUACUGUCCUCUUUACAGGGGUUACUGUCCUCUUUACAGAGGUUACUGUCAUCUUUACAGAGGUUACUGUCAUCUUUACAGAGGUUACUGUCCUCUUUACAGAUGUUACUGUAAACUUUGCAGAGGUUACUCUCCUCUUUGUAGAGGUUUCUGUCAUCUUUACAGAGGUUACUGUCCUCUUUACAGAGGUUAUUGUCCUCUUUACAGUGGUUACUGUCAUCUUUACAGAGGUUACUGUCCUCUUUACAGAGGUUACUGUCAACUUUACAGAGGUUAAUGUCAACUGUACAGAGGUUAAUGUCAACUGUACAGAGGUUACUGUCAACUGUACAGAGGUUACUGUCAACUGUACAGAGGUUACUGUAAUCUGUACAGAGGUUACUGUCAACUGUACAGAGGUUACUGUAAACUUAGCAGAUGUUACUGUAAACUUUGCAGAGGUUACUCUCCUCUUUGUAGAGGUUUCUGUCAUCUUUACAUAGGUUACUGUCCUCUUUGCAGAGGUUACUGUCAUCUUUACAGAUGUUACUGUCAUCUUUACAGAUGUUAAAUGAACUCUCCUUCCCUUCAUGUCUAGGCAGAUCUGUAUGAUUGUUUUCUCUACGAUUAUUCAGUUGUAUUUCUGAUUUGAAGAUGUUCACUACAUGACCAGAAGGAUAUAUAGUGUGUGCUGCACAUGAUGUACUGCUGUACAUAUCAAGACCUGCUGCACAUGAUGUAUUGCUGUUUCCUGAAGUUUAUGUCCAUACAAUGAACACUAUUUACUUUGUAUUAUGUUGUUCAUUUGCUUUAUGCAGUAAUUUAUCAAAUGAGAAAUAAACUACAUUAUAAACA